UGCCAGCAGCCGCGGUAAUACGGAGGGUGCAAGCGUUAAUCGGAAUUACUGGGCGUAAAGCGUGCGUAGGCGGUUUAUUAAGUCAGAUGUGAAAGCCCCGGGCUUAACCUGGGAACUGCAUUUGAAACUGGUAAACUAGAGUAUGGUAGAGGAAAGUGGAAUUUCUGGUGUAGCGGUGAAAUGCGUAGAUAUCAGAAGGAACAUCAAUGGCGAAGGCAGCUUACUAACAAUUAACUGACGCUGAGGGACGAAAGCGUGGGUAGCGAACAGGAUUAGAUA
RNAcentral lists this ribosomal RNA (279 nucleotides) under uncultured bacterium. RNAcentral describes it as "partial 16S ribosomal RNA". It matches the Rfam family "Bacterial small subunit ribosomal RNA", at positions 506 to 784 of the family's 1533-position model. The record is from RNAcentral.